CCGGCGAUGUCCGAAUGGGGAAACCCAGUGCAAUUCGUUGCACUAUCGUUAACUGAAUACAUAGGUUAACGAGGCGAACCGGGGGAACUGAAACAUCUAAGUACCCCGAGGAAAAGAAAUCAACCGAGAUUCCCCCAGUAGCGGCGAGCGAACGGGGAGCAGCCCAGAGUCUGAAUCAGCUUGUGUGUUAGUGGAACGGUCUGGAAAGUCCGACGGUACAGGGUGAUAGUCCCGUACACCAAAAUGCACAGGCUGUGAACUCGAAGAGUAGGGCGGGACACGUGGUAUCCUGUCUGAAUAUGGGGGGACCAUCCUCCAAGGCUAAAUACUCCUGACUGACCGAUAGUGAACCAGUACCGUGAGGGAAAGGCGAAAAGAACCCCGGCGAGGGGAGUGAAAAAGAACCUGAAACCGUGUACGUACAAGCAGUGGGAGCACCUUCGGGUGUGACUGCGUACCUUUUGUAUAAUGGGUCAGCGACUUAUAUUCUGUAGCAAGGUUAACCGUAUAGGGGAGCCGCAGGGAAACCGAGUCUUAACUGGGCGUUAAGUUGCAGGGUAUAGACCCGAAACCCGGUGAUCUAGCCAUGGGCAGGUUGAAGGUUGGGUAACACUAACUGGAGGACCGAACCGACUAAUGUUGAAAAAUUAGCGGAUGACUUGUGGCUGGGGGUGAAAGGCCAAUCAAACCGGGAGAUAGCUGGUUCUCCCCGAAAGCUAUUUAGGUAGCGCCU
Molecule: ribosomal RNA, 733 nt
Filed under: Klebsiella pneumoniae
Lineage: Bacteria; Pseudomonadati; Pseudomonadota; Gammaproteobacteria; Enterobacterales; Enterobacteriaceae
Description: partial 23S ribosomal RNA
Rfam family: Bacterial large subunit ribosomal RNA
Source: RNAcentral